RNAcentral lists this ribosomal RNA (238 nucleotides) under uncultured bacterium. RNAcentral describes it as "partial 16S ribosomal RNA". It matches the Rfam family "Bacterial small subunit ribosomal RNA", at positions 96 to 334 of the family's 1533-position model. The record is from RNAcentral.
CGGCGGACGGGUGAGUAACGCGUGGGUAACCUGCCUCAUACAGGGGGAUAACGGUUAGAAAUGACUGCUAAUACCGCAUAAGCGCACAGUACCGCAUGGUACGGUGUGAAAAACUCCGGUGGUAUGAGAUGGACCCGCGUCUGAUUAGCUAGUUGGUGAGGUAACGGCCCACCAAGGCGACGAUCAGUAGCCGACCUGAGAGGGUGACCGGCCACAUUGGGACUGAGACACGGCCCAG